GAGCUGGGGCUGGGGCCUGGGCCUGGUAGGGCCCCGCUCCACCGGAUCCGCCUGAGGCCGAGGGGCGGGCCGGCAGGCGGCGGGAGCGGGCUCUGUGAGGGUGGCUCGGGUGCCUGUCACGGGUGGGUCUGCACCACGGGUGCCGCCGAGACCUCCGCGGAUAGCCGGCCGGCAGCAGAGGGAGCGUGGUGGGCCUCGAGUGGUCGCAGACCUCUGUGAGGCCGUGUUUGCUCCGGGGGGCAGGUGACACUGCCUCUCUGUGUGACGGAUAGCCGGCCUCGAGUGGGGGUCAGCCGUGGGACGCCUUGGGCAGGGUGUACUGGUCUCCUCCGUGUAUGUGUACUGACUGUUUGUUUCUUCACUGGUCGGUAACAACUUUUUCACUCAAGGAAACCAUCUAUUCUUUGGUCAGUGUUAUCCUGUCUUGGGCAAGCAAGAUGGUUGAAGCUUUUCCUGCUUUAUUAGGUUUGUCAUAUUGGUGCUUAAUCAUUUUUCUGCUUUCAGGUCACUGGCUGAAGUUAGCUGUGCUCUUUUUACUUCACCAAAAUGACUUAAUAAAAUAGAUGGCAAGACCCAAGCACUAAGGAAGGUCUUUUUACAGGUUUGCUUUGGAGCCUGCUUCUAAUGCUUUAAAGCAAAGCAGAAGAGGAAAAUGGAGAAUGAAGAUUAUCAUGUGUUUUCAAGGCUCACUUAGCCAACAAUUACAAGGAAAACUUGAGGAAGACAAGACCAAACUAAUAUUUUAGAGAAUUUUCCCAUUGGGAAUGGGAUGAAGGGAAGCAAUGUCUCUGUGCUCUAAGCUGUUGAUAGUUGUCAAGUGCAUGUUUCAGAUAGGUAGGCUAGCUGUCUACAAGUUAAUAAGUUCAACUUUUAUUGUUUAUUUUAUAAUCUUUGUUUCUUAACAGCUGAUCUUUGUCUUUUUUGUCAAACGGAUGAUCUUAUUGCUGUGUGUAAUUCAGUGAAUAACUUGUAUUGUUGCCUGGCAAAAGCAGGCUCAUUUUGAUGCAGAUUGGGGGUUUUUUAGACUUACGUCUGUGUUGAUACCACUACUUGUGUGAACAACUUUCAGUAUGGAUUAGCAUAUUUGUUCACAAAAAAAAAAGAAAAAAGAUUUGAGCAUUUUAUUAGUAGUAAAUGAAGGAAGAGAUUCAGUUUUCUGUAGUAAAACUCCAUGCCAACAUGAUGUUAGUUGCAGCAGCCAAUAGUUGGCAGUGUUAGGUUUUGGCAGUGCAGUGCUGGGAUCUAGCACUGAACAUGUCUGGGUGCAUAUCCCCAUCACAGACUUUCUGCAGCCUGGCUGCCUGUCUUGACAGCUGUGUUCUAUUGCAAGACACUCUGGACUAUGUAGAAAUAUUAUUUCUAUGCUCAACCUGUGAGGUAUGGGAGAAAGAAGGUAAGUCUGACUUACGAGUCAAAUUUUUUGGGGGUGUGGAAGACUAGUCAGUGAGGGAACAUAAGAAGAUGAUGAUUGGGGAAUGGAAUUCUUGGUGUUGGUUUUAAUUAGAAUCAUCCUGUUCAUCACUCAUAUUGUGAGAUGAAAAUUGAAAAGAUCCAUUAUUACAGUACACUCAAAGAAGAAAUAUUUGUAUUAGUUAAUGAGCAAUUCUAAUUGACCUGCCAAAUAUAAUUGAGUUGAAAUACAGAUCUAUUCCAACAAUGUUUUCCUUAUUGUAGUGUAUGAGAGAAACACAGCUGGCAUUUUAUUUCUUUAAUCUGUCUGUGCUCUAAUGACUUUUGUCUAAAAUUGAUACUAUUAAUUCAGUAUUAAACUUCACAAUAAUGUCAGCCAAAAAUUAAGCCCAAUCAACAAACCUUUUUCUCAUGAGUACAAGCCUUCUUAUGCCUCUCCCCUUAAAAAAGUAAAAAUGUGACACUUGUGUUCUGGAAGAGUGACUGCAGUAAACCAGAGGAGGAAGUUGAUGGAUGGCUGGGAGAGCUCAGAGCUGAAGGUUCUUCUGUUUAUUGGUGGACUUUGUUCUUGCUGAGGAGGAAUCAGCCAUUGAACUUCUCUGCUUGUUUUCUCCUAGGUGUGGUGCUGUGAUGUAGCAAGUGAGGUAUGUUCUACCUGUCACUGCAGGAAGUCAUGUAGAGUGACCUGUGUUCUGAUCUCCCUUCCAGCAGUGCAGACCAACUGAAGUGGCCCAUGCUGUUACUUUACAUGUACUACAAAUUAGAUUAGAAUCUGCUUCGCCUAGAUUUAAUUAGCUGGCAGUAUCAUUAAAAUACUUUCUGGAGCCUUUGCACUGUAGCAUGAAACAUGAAGCAUUUUUAAGACUUAAACCUCUCUAAAUGAAGGCAAGCAAUCAAAGAUCCACAUGUCAAGGGGAGGAGUUGAAGAGGUUUGUAUUUAGAUUAUUCCACAUCAUAAAACUCAAUAAAACUGUCAGGCUAAGUGGGUACAAGCAACCCUUUCACCUCCCAGUUGAUACAGAAGACUUUUCUUGCUUAGCAUGAAUGUUUCUGUAGACCGCAUCUUCCUCAUAACCAUUUUUCGGCUUCUGACUAAAAAAUAUGUAGGGAGAUGUUCCAGUGUAAGUACUUUAAAUUGCUACCAAGGUGCCAGAUGCCUUACCUAAAAAUAGUGGUAGGGAAAAAGCCUUACGUGAUUGCUUUCCUUUUCUAAAACACACAGUUACGGCAGUUUUGACAUUGUUCCACUCGGGUCAUCAAAUUCAUACAAGCUAUUGUACUACAGUGUAAAGCAUACAUUUUAGAAGAAUGAAAAGUACAGGAAGUUUGAUGUGUGAACAUAAAUUUACUCAUCUUUUAUAUAACACCUUCUUGAGGUGCUGACGUUUUCAGUACAUUAAUUGUUCAUAAUGAAUACUCUUGCAUAAAACAUUUCAAAGGUAAUUUUCUGAGGCCAAAGAAUGACUAAAAAGUUAUUCACUAAAGAGCAGUCAGUCUGUAUCCAAAAGGAGACUUACAGGAUGUGAAAUGAACUGACUUCACAGUCAAGAAGUUUGCCUGCAUGAAAGAAUCUGCCCUUCUGCAGGUUUGAUGCCUUUAGAGGGAAGCUACAGAAGUGGUGUUGGCUGGUGUAGAGGCAAAAUUAGUAUGUUCUGAUUAUGUGCCAUUGAAGGAAAGGGGAAAAAAAGCUUUGGGCAAAAUAUCCAGACCUUCUCUAUAAGAAGUCUUAUCUCUGCUACAGAUAAUAUGUGAUCAGUUUUGUGCCAUGAACUUCAGGGUGGACAGUACUAAUCAGUAAAGAUAAGGUAUGUUUAAAGAAUAUACUUAGAACCAAGGAAAAGAAUCAUACUGUUUACAGGCAGUAGGUUUUAAACAACCUGUCAAAUAUUUCUUGGCUGUUACAAUCUCUCCUAAGAGCUUUUCCUGGUUUGUAAAGGAAAGUAAUGUGAAAUCAAUAGUGGUAUUUAAAAAUUCACAGAACAUUUCCCAGCCGAAGUUUCACUUUCAGAUGCCACUAAUGCAACAGGCAGAGCAGGCAGAAAUCACAGACUUGACCUUAAUGGCAAACAAAAGAGAGUACAGAGGAAAGUGAAGCAAAGAAAGAUUCUUUCAGAAGCAACUAGGAGGAAGACCUGCUGACUCCCCCCACAAGAGCAAACCUCCAGAGCUGCCAUGGGCAUCAGUUUGCUGAAGUCCUUUGUUUGGAGAUGCAGUCUAGUUGCCAUGCUGAAUUGCAGCUGAAGAAUGCAAACUGGUGUAAACCGCCACAAAGCAUUCACAUAAUGGUGAAAACCAACAAGAAACGCAGUAAAACAAGUUUCCUAUCGCAUAUUACAACAGUAUGACCUGCUGGACUUCAGACAAUGGAGAGGAAAUGUUUGCUAGUUCAGGUUGCCUCAUUCCAUUAUCCCAGAAGACUUGGGAUCAUUGUGGAAAUGGGAAGAAACAAGGUGCAUAAUUAGAUCUGCUUGUUAGUUUGCAUCUUUUAAUGGAAGUACAAAGAGUAAUACAGUACAUAGUGACCUUGCAGCUGUAUAUGAAGUUAGGCUACAUCUCUGCUGAAGAAGAUGCAUCAUUAGUUACAACUUGUAUGAGUUCAUACAACUGUAAUUACCUGUAGUUGCCACACUUGACCUGUGAAGGUAAAUAGGAUUUGUCAGUAUCCCCUCACCUCUCCAGAAUAAUGCAGAACUAUUUUUCCAGCCUCUUGCAUGGGCUAUUCAGAAAUAGCAGAAGAGCAAGCCAGUGGAGCUUGGGUGUGGUGGCCUUUCCUGAAAGGCUGAUUUCCUCAGCUGCUGGACCCAAGGGUGAGGUUCAGAGAGUUUGCUCUCAGUAUUAUCUCUAGACACCAUGCUCAUGCUUUCUCAGUGGCAUUCAAACAGAUUAUAAAUAGGCUGUGUUAUUUCUCAUGAUGAUUUCUAGUUUGGGGAGUUCAUGUGUCUUACACUUCCCCAAGUUGUUUUUUUUUUCUCUGAACUUAAGAGUUAGAAAUUUGUUUUUCAGAUUCACAUGAAGCACUUGACUCCAGAAGCUGCAGCUUCAACCAGCAGAUUAGAGAGUCAUGAUAAAAUUGGCAGAAUUGUACUGCUCUAAGCACUUUGAGACAUAUGCUGCUUUUCCUACUCCUGGAAGUAGUCCCACAGAUGUCUCAUGAUUAUUCACUUGAGUCAUGAUUGCAGAAUUGAGUUUUUGGUGUUUUGGAUUCCCAGUUUCCUACACUGCAUAUUUGAAGUGCCAAUUCUAAUAGAAGACUUACCUGGUUUAAAACAUAAAAGAUACGUUUUGCCAAAACUCAGUGUUUUGAACUUGUAUGGAAUCACCUCUUGACUUAACAUUUGGUCAAAAUGAGACAUCUCCAAGG
Molecule: long non-coding RNA, 4771 nt
Organism: Melopsittacus undulatus (budgerigar)
Lineage: Eukaryota; Metazoa; Chordata; Aves; Psittaciformes; Psittaculidae
Exons: 2
Source: RefSeq, a predicted model, not a curated record